GCUACUGCUAGAAGUGUUGCAGGUGUGGCCGCGGUGUCACACGUGCAUCUGUAGGUGGCAGAGAGGAGAGAGGCUCUCUUUAUGCUCAGUGUUCUGACCUCUGAACACCUGAGUGAUUAGUAGCCUAACACU
Small nucleolar RNA from Acomys russatus (golden spiny mouse), 132 nucleotides. RefSeq annotates it as small nucleolar RNA SNORA17. The transcript has a single exon. The record is from RefSeq and is a predicted model, not a curated record. Lineage: Eukaryota; Metazoa; Chordata; Mammalia; Rodentia; Muridae.